ACAAAGAUUCUUGACAUCUGUUGGAACUUGUUCUGAAGUGUUUUCAGUCUCAUGAAAAUCGCAUUUUCUGGCUUUUUAUGUUGUUCUAGAGCAGGGAUCUAGAGGCUGUGGCUGAGAUAUAGUUUAUUUUUACAUGUAGUUAAAGCUUUAGGAAAAAUGGGGAACCUUAUUAGCAGUCUAAUGGGUUCCCAUGUUAUGGGCUCAGGAGGAAGCAAGCGGAAAGUUGAAGAUUUAGAAAGCGAGGACGAAGAUGCAACAGAUUUCGACUCACUCCUACAUACUCCCAAAAGACGGAGAUUAAACUCAACAUCACAGUAUAUCUACAAGACGUUAUUCGAAGAGGGAUGUGCAUCAGAUGUGACUGUCGUGGCACUGGGGAGAGAGUGGCAUUUACACAAAGUUUAUUUGUGUCAGAGUCCAUAUUUCGGAAGCAUGUUCUCGGGCAACUGGACAGAGACAAACCAGUCCAAAAUCAACAUUGAGAUCCUUGACGACAAUAUAAACAUUGAUGCCCUACACCUCGCCCUAGGCCAGUUCUACAAAGACGACAUUGUGGUGGAGCCAGCGCAGGUAAUUCCUUUGCUGGCAACGGCUCUGCUCCUCCAGAUGGACCCGCUCAUUGACCAGUGCACCUCAAUCAUGAUGGAGACCAUUAACCUGCAGACUGUCCUUCAGUACCACGAAGCAGCACGAAGGUACGGGGUUCUAGAGGUAGACAAGGCAUGCAAACAGUGGCUCCUGCACAACCUAUUAACACAGGUGACUGAACACCCUGCCACGCUGAGACACAUCCCUUCGGAUCUCAUGUCGGAACUUCUCACCUCCCCCCACCUUUACGUGAUGCAGACAGAGUUCAGUGUCUACGUCAUGCUCAAGGCAUGGGUAUUUCUGCGACUGAAUCCAAGUUGGGAUGGAUCACAUGAGACGGCUUUCCUCGAGGCACACAAGUACUUCAGGAACAGAGCAGAGCGUGGCUGGUUCUUGGAGGAGGAAGGCCGCGAGUUCUCUUCAGUGUUUUCUGCACUGCGUCUUGUCUACCUAAUCUACCAUCACCUGGAUGUGGAGAUGCUCUACUCAGACCGCAUUCUUCCCCCCUCUUGGAUCACCCCUGCCAGCAUGCAUCAGUGGUACAACAUGCUACGCAUUGACCAGGGCAAAGACAGAGGGCCAAGUGAGAUAUCAGAAGAGGAGUUUGACCGGUCUUGCACACGUUGUGGCCGGGUACUGGGGAAUUCAGGGCAGCACAUCUGGCGUUGGACGGGCUACAACUUUGGCCUGGACCUGGUCAUGACCCAUGAUGGGGCAUCGUUACGCCUCAAGAGGAACCACCGCACAGAGAACAUUGCAAGCAUAGCCCAGCCUGCAAGGAGGAAUAUCAUGUACAGAGUGACAGUGGCAUCCCUUGAUGACCAGAAACAAGUAGUUUACACAAAAUCUACAGGAGUACAAUCAGUCUCUCUUGCCAAGACUGAGGAGAUCCGCGUGAUGGUGCUGGAUCCAGACGUCAAGUAUCCACUUCUCCUCAGCGCCAACUUCCUCAUCACAACCAACCACUCUCUCAUCACCAGCCACUCUGGAGGCUCAUCAGGGACCUCCCCCUCCACCAUUGCCUCUGCAUCCACUCUCUCCUCCCGAGCACCUGGCCAGCCCUCAAGAGAAUGACUGCCGCUCUUUGCCAGCCGGGACAUGUAUUUCGGCGCUGGCCAAUCUCCCUGGAUGAAUGAUGUCCGUGGAUGAUUGAUUUCAGUUGAUAAUUUCCAUUUAUAACUCUAGAAACUGAGUUUCACAAGCUGAAUGAUGCUCUGAGGUUAAUUUCAGUGGAUGUUUAUUAUUCCAUGGACGAUUUCAGCAGCUGAUUGAUUGCAUAGUUAAUUUCAGUGACUGAUGUCAUUAGAUUCUUAUAGCUAUGCUCCCAACACCCCACUUCCUUCAUGUCUCAUUUCACAUUUCUCAUCUCAUUACGUCGUAACUCUGUUGUAAGAGGGUCCUCAUCCUGUGCAGAUCUCGGAGAACUCUUUUUGUUUGUUAUGUGUGUGCUUGCCUAGCCUCUCUCUCUCUUUUUUUUUCUUUCCUUCAUCUUUGCUUUAAUGUUGUAAUUCAGGACUGAUACACAUUCCAAAAGAUCUUGGAAUCAUCUUUCUUUUUCUUUUUUCUUUUUUGUUUUUUUUAUUAUUGUUUGAUUUUAACAUUACAAACUGUCUCAUUUUACAUCUUGUGUUAUUAAAUGAGAGGCAAGUACAGUUUCUCUGUAUGAUAGGACAAUACAAAGCUUUAAAUUUUUCUUUUUUUUUUUUUUUUUUUUUUUUUGUACAUAUUCAAUUGUUGAUAUCAUAGUUUUUAAAUAGUAUGGUGCAACCUUGCUGAUCUCUGUUUGUAAGAAAUCAGUAUUUUUUUCAAUUUGUGGGAAGUAGAUCAGAUUCAAAGUCAGUAUUUUUCCUUUUCUUUUUUUUCCAUGGUAGGAGGAAAAAUUAUAUCUAGUGACUUAAUCCUGUUAUAUCUGAUUCAUAAGUAUUUUUUGUUUUAUUAUUAUGUAGUUAAGAGAGAAAAUAUUUUGAUAAUGAUAUGCUCCCUUUUUUAGAUUUUUUGCUAUGUAGUAAAGAAAAGAAGGAAGACAAUGAAGAGGAAUGUUGUAUUAGAAGAAUCUUCUUUUAUUUUCUUCUUCUUCCUCGUCUUCUUUUUUCAGAUGGAGCACCAGAGACAAAGCUCAUGAUCUCCGUGCAUAAAUUUGAUGUUGUAAAAGUGACUGUGCUUGAGCAGCAAGGUGCAACCACAAGCUUUAUUCUAGCGAGGGGAAGAGAAGAGGAGAGCACUCAGAAGGGUUUAAUAGAAGGGGAAAAGGAGUAUUGAACUCACACAUAAAUGCCAUAUUUUUUGUGAUAUAUCUGUCUUUCUACUUUGAUUUAGUAUUUUUUAUUUGGAUUGCAUUAAGUCAUACCUCAUUGACUGCCCCAUAACCAAUGCUAGUUGCAGUAGUUUGUUGUGUGAAGUUGUAAUUGAAGUUCAGAGAGAUCCAACUGGAUUGAAAAGAACUGAACUGAAUCUGGGUAUUUGCUGUAGGAAAUUGCAAUUUUAUGUGAACUAUUUUGAAACUUCAAGGAUAAGCUCAGAAGAAGAGAAAUACUGUGUAAAGAUAAACUCUGAAAUUGCAAAACUUAUGUGGGUCUAAGGGCCAUUUUUGCUUUCUUUAGUUUUUCUUUCCACUUCUCCCUUCCUUCUCCCCUUUUUUUCCUCUCCUCUUUGCUUGUUACAAAGGAAUUGUUUGUGUUGGUGAUAUUUCCAUUGCAUUUACAAGAUGAUAAGUGGAAUGAAAGAUGCCUGUUUGGUUACAAGUAUGGCAGAUUUUCCAUGGUGCAAGUAAUAAUUUCUUGUUUUCUGUCAUCUCUUAAAAAAAGAUAGUGCAAAGGCAGGUCACAGGUCUUAUAUAAGUUACAAAGACAGAUCUAAGAUUAUCCAGAAGUUAGACUUAAUUUCCCUAACAUUAUAGUAAAGCUUUGAUUCAAAUUAACUACACAUAGAACCUAUAUUUGAGAGUCUCAGUGCUAAACUACGACAGCUUUAAAAUGAUAAUAACACUUACGUACUGCAAGCACGGGCUGCAGCCAUACAGUCCUUUCAGAUCAUUCAGUCAUGUUGGUUUUUGGAUUUACUGUUAUACAGUUAUUCGGUCUAUCAUUUCAGGCAUUCAGUCUAGUUGCUUAGCAUUCAAUCUUUGAAUUGUCUGGUCAUUCACUCGACUGGCUGUUCAGUUGUCUGGCCAUUCAAUCUUUGAAUUGUCUGGUCCUUCACUCGACUGGCUGUUCAGUUGUUUGGUAAUUCAUUUAGAUGAUUAUUAAAAAAAAGAAAAGGAUUUGAUGACAUGAAAGGCUAUGGUUGGCAUCCUCUUCAUCCGAUUUCCCUUCUUCAGAUAAGCUAUGGAAUCCUCCCAUAGACAGCCAAUCUGGAGAGCUGCAAUCCUUAUGUCCUUUAAGCAAAAGUAUUGGUUUAUUUGGGAACAAUUUGAUCCUCAAAGGUACAUUUAAUUGUUAAGGCAUGAUGGCCUGUAAGGUAUUCAAUCCAUACCUUAUUCAAAUAUGAUAUUGUUUCUCUGUAAUUAAAUAUUCUUAAGAUUAGAAGAAUAUUUGGAAUAUUGCAGCAAAAUGGCACAAGGAUCCAGAAUUUGGCAGUGUCUAAUUACACUUUAUUUUGAGCUUUCUUUCUUUCUUUAAUAUUAUCAUUAUUAUUCCAUUUUGAGACCUUUUCCCUCAAAUAUACUGUAAACAGCAAAUCUGUAAGAGAACAAAGCUUUUAGUUUGUUAUUUUUAUAGUGAUUAUUUGUGACUAUUUUACAGUAGAUAUAUGUCCUGAAGGAAAUGCUAAAAUUCGUAUUGUAGGCAUGAACAGGAAGAAUCUCUUUCCGUCGUUCAAACCACUCACUGCCAUUAACACAUUAAUAGAUUUGUUACAUUUGAUAAGAUGUUUGUGUGAAGCGAGUGUGGUUGGUUAGAUCAGUUCUGUUGUACUUUUUUCUUUUCUUUCUUCUUUACUUCUUUUUUUUUGUGCAUGCUUUGAAUAACUAUAAUUUCAGAAAAUUGUAAUAUCUUUAGGCCUCUCUCUCUCUCUCUCUCUCUCUCUCUCUCUCUCUCUCUCUCUCUCUCUCUCUCUCUCUCUCUCUCUC
Molecule: unclassified non-coding RNA, 4654 nt
Filed under: Penaeus japonicus
Lineage: Eukaryota; Metazoa; Arthropoda; Malacostraca; Decapoda; Penaeidae
Description: protein germ cell-less-like, transcript variant X1
Source: RNAcentral